This 497-nucleotide long non-coding RNA is filed under the name Equus caballus (horse). RNAcentral describes it as "lncRNA (ENSECAG00000044321.1)". Lineage: Eukaryota; Metazoa; Chordata; Mammalia; Perissodactyla; Equidae. The record is from RNAcentral.
CAACGUUCUAUUUGAGAAAAGAAGGGGACACGCUGGAAUGCAGAUGUGAUAGAUGGAGUGGGGCAGCCAUCUUGGCUCAUAAGGUGGAAACCACAUGUUUAGGAUGGCAGAACCACAAAAUAGAGGCCUGAAUCCCCAGUGACCAUGGACCUGGGUCUGCCUUUACAAAAAUGAAUGAAAAGCCAAGGUUUCUAAGGGUAUAUGAUCCAGGCUGCACACAAGGAACUCUCAAUGGCCUUCACGUUAAGUCAUUUAAAACAAUCCAGCCAUGCUCUGCUGUGGAAAUCACUAGCCACUGGCUGUCAUCAUAUCAAUUUGUUAUUGUUAAUGAGAUGGCGUUAGUUAUAUAAUUCUUAAUUUACCAUGAAAACUGUAUGUCAACUCUUCAACAGCAAAAAUAUGCAAAGGGAAAAUGGUGGCAUCUUCCUUGUGCUGGCAAUUCCACAGUAACGUUCAAGCGUCUUCCCAGUCGUGGAGCUGCUGCCAGGGCUUCCAAG